Molecule: ribosomal RNA, 490 nt
Filed under: uncultured bacterium
Lineage: Bacteria
Description: partial 16S ribosomal RNA
Rfam family: Bacterial small subunit ribosomal RNA
Source: RNAcentral
AUUGAACGCUGGCGGCAGGCCUAACACAUGCAAGUCGAGCGGUAACAGAGAUUAGCUUGCUAAUCUGCUGACGAGCGGCGGACGGGUGAGUAAUGCAUAGGAAGUUGCCCAGUAGAGGGGGAUACCAGUUGGAAACGACUGUUAAUACCGCAUGAUCUCUUUGGAGCAAAGCAGGGGACCUUCGGGCCUUGCGCUACUGGAUACGCCUAUGUGGGAUUAGCUAGUUGGUGAGGUAAUGGCUCACCAAGGCGACGAUCCCUAGCUGGUCUGAGAGGAUGAUCAGCCACACUGGGACUGAGACACGGCCCAGACUCCUACGGGAGGCAGCAGUGGGGCAUAUUGCACAAUGGGCGAAAGCCUGAUGCAGCCAUGCCGCGUGUAUGAAGAAGGCCUUCGGGUUGUAAAGUACUUUCAGUUGUGAGGAAGGUUGUGUAGUUAAUAGCUGCAUAAUUUGACGUUAGCAACAGAAGAAGCACCGGCUAACUCCGUG